Molecule: ribosomal RNA, 253 nt
Filed under: uncultured bacterium
Lineage: Bacteria
Description: partial 16S ribosomal RNA
Rfam family: Bacterial small subunit ribosomal RNA
Source: RNAcentral
UACGGGGGGGGCAAGCGUUAUCCGGAUUCACUGGGUUUAAAGGGUGCGUAGGUGGGUUGAUAAGUCAGUGGUGAAAUCCCCGAGCUUAACUUGGGAACUGCCAUUGAUACUAUUGAUCUUGAAUACCGUGGAGGUCAGCGGAAUAUGUCAUGUAGCGGUGAAAUGCUUAGAUAUGACAUAGAACACCAAUUGCGAAGGCAGCUGGCUACGCGAAUAUUGACACUGAUGCACGAAAGCGUGGGGAUCAAACAGG